This 433-nucleotide ribosomal RNA is filed under the name uncultured bacterium. Its description in RNAcentral is "partial 16S ribosomal RNA". It matches the Rfam family "Bacterial small subunit ribosomal RNA", at positions 29 to 507 of the family's 1533-position model. The record is from RNAcentral.
AACGAACGCUGGCGGCAUGCCUAACACAUGCAAGUCGAACGAGACCUUCGGGUCUAGUGGCGCACGGGUGCGUAACGCGUGGGAACCUGCCCUUAGGUUCUGAAUAACUCCCCGAAAGGGGUGCUAAUACCGGAUAAUGUCUUCGGACCAAAGAUUUAUCGCCUUUGGAUGGGCCCGCGUUGGAUUAGCUAGUUGGUAGGGUAAAAGCCUACCAAGGCGACGAUCCAUAGCUGGUCUGAGAGGAUGAUCAGCCACACUGGGACUGAGACACGGCCCAGACUCCAACGGGAGGAAGCAGUGGGGGAUAUUGGACCAUGGGCGAAAGCCUGAUCCAGCAAUGCCGCGUGAGUGAUGAAGGACUUAGGGUUGUAAAGCUCUUUUACCCGGGAUGAUAAUGACAGUACCGGGAGAAUAAGCGCCGGCUAACUCCGUG